AGCCCAGCAACUUAUAUCCCUACCUCACCGUGGUACUGGCUGGGGUACGAGCAAUUUUAGGGAAGAUCGGGUAACCAACCCCGGUGGGAACUUUGGCCGUAUGCUGACAGGUAAGG
Molecule: ribozyme, 116 nt
Filed under: Aedes aegypti (yellow fever mosquito)
Lineage: Eukaryota; Metazoa; Arthropoda; Insecta; Diptera; Culicidae
Description: drz-agam-1 ribozyme
Rfam family: drz-agam-1 ribozyme
Source: Rfam by way of RNAcentral